Molecule: unclassified non-coding RNA, 171 nt
Filed under: uncultured Mucoromycotina
Lineage: Eukaryota; Fungi
Description: sequence contains ITS1
Source: RNAcentral
AUAAUAUUGAGGGAUGGAAACAUCCCAAAAUCUGACAUUGUGGUAUAAAUGAAAGAAAUCUUGGGUUUAAAGAUGAUGUUUUUGAAAAAAGGCAUCGACCCAAAACUUUUUAUCAACUCUUUAAUAUUUGACUGAAAUUAUCAAGUAAUCGAAAGAUUAAAAAAGUUUAAA